GGCGAACGGGUGAGUAAUACAUCGGAACGUACCCAGUAGCGGGAGAUAGCCCGGCGAAAGCCGGAUUAAUACCGCAUUCGCCCUACGGGGGAAAGGGGGGAUCUUCGGACCUCUCACUAUUGGAGCGGCCGAUGGCUGAUUAGCUAGUUGGUGGGGUAAAGAGCCUACCAACGCGACGAUCAGUAGCUGGUCUGAGAGGACGACCACGCCACACUGGGACUGAGACACGGCCCAGACUCCUACGGGAGGCAGCAGUGGGGAAUUUUGGACAAUGGGCGAAAGCCUGAUCCAGCAAUGCCGCGUGUGCGAAGAAGGCCUUCGGGUUGUAAAGCACUUUUGUCAGGGCAAGAAAUCGUUUGGGUUAAUACCCGAGCAGUUGACGGUACCUGAAGAAUAAGCACCGGCUAACUACGUGCCAGCAGCCGCGGUAAUACGUAGGGUGCAAGCGUUAAUCGGAAUUACUGGGAACGUAAAGCGUGCGCAGGUGGUUUGUUAAGACAGUUGUGAAAUCCCCGGGCUUAACCUGGGAACUGCCAAUUGUGA
Molecule: ribosomal RNA, 543 nt
Filed under: uncultured bacterium
Lineage: Bacteria
Description: bacterial SSU rRNA
Rfam family: Bacterial small subunit ribosomal RNA
Source: RNAcentral